RNAcentral lists this long non-coding RNA (409 nucleotides) under Capsella rubella. Its description in RNAcentral is "long non-coding RNA (CRUB_LNC002296)". The record is from RNAcentral. Lineage: Eukaryota; Viridiplantae; Streptophyta; Magnoliopsida; Brassicales; Brassicaceae.
AAGAAACAAAUGUUUUCAAAAAUAUUUAUGCAUGUACAUGUGGUAUAUGUACCUCAAUUAAUUAAAAUCAUGUGUACAACUAAAAAUAUUUUUUUUUAAACAUUGUAUAACUAAUUAAAACAAAAAAAAUAAAAAAGUACAACUUGGCAAAACGAGUACAACUUGUAACUUUGGUACAACUAGUGCAUUUUGGCGGCUACACGUGUCUAAUGUGGAUCACGUGUUUGUUGUUUGGUCCUUUUAUUUUUAUUUUUUUCCUACACUUAAGAAUUUUUAAAAAAUUCAAUUUCAAAUUGAAAUUGAAAGAGGGAAUCGGGAAUCGGGUAUAGCUAGGAUUUACUGUCCUUUGACUCUUUUCACUUCUUCUCCUUCUUUCUUUUUGGGUUGGUGCGAUUUCGUCUUUUAUUUU